UGGGGAAUAUUGGACAAUGGGCGGAAGCCUGAUCCAGCAACGCCGCGUGAGGGAUGACGGCCUUCGGGUUGUAAACCUCUUUCGGUGGGGACGAAGCGCAAGUGACGGUACCCACUAAAGAAGCACCGGCCAACUACGUGCCAGCAGCCGCGGUAAUACGUAGGGUGCGAGCGUUGUCCGGAAUUAUUGGGCGUAAAGGGCUCGUAGGCGGUUUGUCGCGUCGGGAGUGAAAACCAGGUGCUUAACACCUGGCUUGCUUUCGAUACGGGCAGACUAGAGGUAUUCAGGGGAGAACGGAAUUCCUGGUGUAGCGGUGAAAUGCGCAGAUAUCAGGAGGAACACCGGUGGCGAAGGCGGUUCUCUGGGAAUGGACCUGACGCUGAGGAGCGAAAGUGUGGGGAGGCGAACAGGAUUAGAUACCCUGGUAGUCCACACCGUAAACGUUGGGCGCUAGGUGUGGGGUCCAUUCCACGGAUUCCGUGCCGCAGCUAACGCAUUAAGCG
Molecule: ribosomal RNA, 503 nt
Filed under: uncultured Actinomycetes bacterium
Lineage: Bacteria; Bacillati; Actinomycetota; Actinomycetes
Description: bacterial SSU rRNA
Rfam family: Bacterial small subunit ribosomal RNA
Source: RNAcentral